GUAAGAAAUCAGUAGAAAAUGAUUGGAGUUGACCUUCUAAUACUUUAUCCAGAAAAGCUAGCUGGUCCACGUAAUAUGUGGAAGGCAUGCUCUGUCCAAUCUCAUUUCGGGAAAGUUUUAUAAAGUGAACUUAGUAGUAAUUUGAAAUAAUAUAAUAUCAGGGUGUGCAAGAUUUAGUCAUCAGAUCAGAGUUGUUUUUUUAAUGCAGAAGUCUCAUUCUGCUUCUAUUUAAUUAUGCUAUGAAAGAUCUGGCAACCUGUUAGCCAUAAUCUUUAUUANNN
This 281-nucleotide long non-coding RNA is filed under the name Manihot esculenta (cassava). Its description in RNAcentral is "long non-coding RNA (MESC_LNC013045)". The record is from RNAcentral. Lineage: Eukaryota; Viridiplantae; Streptophyta; Magnoliopsida; Malpighiales; Euphorbiaceae.